Molecule: ribosomal RNA, 496 nt
Filed under: uncultured bacterium
Lineage: Bacteria
Description: partial 16S ribosomal RNA
Rfam family: Bacterial small subunit ribosomal RNA
Source: RNAcentral
AUUGAACGCUGGCGGAAUGCUUUACACAUGCAAGUCGAACGGUAGAGGGGGCAACCCCUCGAGAGUGGCGAACGGGUGAGUAAUAUAUCGGAACGUGCCCAGUCGUGGGGGAUAACGUAGCGAAAGUUACGCUAAUACCGCAUACGAUCUAAGGAUGAAAGCGGGGGAUCGCAAGACCUCGAGCGAUUGGCGCGGCCGAUAUCAGAUUAGGUAGUUGGUGGGGUAAAGGCUCACCAAGCCAACGAUCUGUAGAUGGUCUGAGAGGACGACCAGCCACACUGGAACUGAGACACGGUCCAGACUCCUACGGGAGGCAGCAGUGGGGAAUUUUGGACAAUGGACGCAAGUCUGAUCCAGCCAUUCCGCGUGCAGGAUGAAGGCCCUCGGGUUGUAAACUGCUUUUGUACGGAACGAAAAGGUCUCUCUUAAUACGGGGGACUCAUGACGGUACCGUAAGAAUAAGCACCGGCUAACUACGUGCCAGCCGCCGCGGUAA